Long non-coding RNA from Drosophila gunungcola (fruit fly), 556 nucleotides. RefSeq lists it as uncharacterized. The transcript has 2 exons. NCBI's taxonomy places the organism in Eukaryota, Metazoa, Arthropoda, Insecta, Diptera, Drosophilidae. The record is from RefSeq and is a predicted model, not a curated record.
AUAGCGGCCCGUCCACUAUCGAUAGUGCCAUCGAUAGCGGGCGUCUCACAUCGCUAAAAUACUUUAACGCGCAUUUCACACACAACUUCACACAAACAACUGAAAAAUUGUUAAAAUUGACGGGAAUUAUAAAAAAAACUAUUAAAAAUGGAACGCUUUUAAAAAAAGGUAUGUUUAAUGUAUUUUGCAUAAGUAUUUUGAUGGAUAAUGUGUUGCAUUUAAGGUACGAUCAGAUAGCAAAAUCGGAAACGCACGAGUGGAUGCUAUACUUAUUAAAAGGCAAUAUCUGGAGAGGGCAAUUGUCAGUCACGAUGUGGACCCACUGUUAUGGAUUAAGGUUAAUCAAACUGAUCUUCCCUGCAUAAAGGGCCUCUUUUGCAAAUACCUUUGCAUUCCCGCAACAUCCGUAGAAUCGGAAAGAGCUUUUAGCAAGGCAGGGCAAAUUGUUUCCGAGAGACGCACCCGGCUCAAAGAGAAAAACAUUAACAUCCUGUUAUUUUUGAAUCAAAACUUUUGGUUAAAAUAAACCAUUUUUCUUAAAAACUUAAAAAAAAAA